UACAGAGGGUGCAAGCGUUAAUCGGAUUUACUGGGCGCAAAGGGCGCGUAGGUGGUUAUGUCAGUAAGAUGUGAAAGCCCCGGGCUUAACCUGGGAACUGCGUCUUAAACUGCAUAGCUGGAGUACAAUAGAGGGUAGUGGAAUUUCCGGUGUAGCGGUGAAAUGCGUAGAUAUCGGAAGGAACACCAGUGGCGAAGGCGGCUACCUGGAUUGAUACUGACACUGAGGCGCGAAAGCGUGGGGAGCAAACAGG
Molecule: ribosomal RNA, 253 nt
Filed under: uncultured bacterium
Lineage: Bacteria
Description: partial 16S ribosomal RNA
Rfam family: Bacterial small subunit ribosomal RNA
Source: RNAcentral